GAGCCGGUAGCUCAGUCUGGUAGAGCAUGGAAUGCGUCUUGGCAAAGGCGUUAACAGCAAAAACUUUCCUUUGGGUGGAUAAGGUCGCGGGUUCGAAUCCCGUCCGGUUCA
RNAcentral lists this transfer RNA (111 nucleotides) under Clostridiales bacterium. RNAcentral's name for it is "tRNA-OTHER". It matches the Rfam family "tRNA". From Rfam's summary of the family: Transfer RNA (tRNA) molecules are approximately 80 nucleotides in length. Their secondary structure includes four short double-helical elements and three loops (D, anti-codon, and T loops). The record is from RNAcentral. Lineage: Bacteria; Bacillati; Bacillota; Clostridia; Eubacteriales.